This 460-nucleotide ribosomal RNA is filed under the name uncultured bacterium. Its description in RNAcentral is "partial 16S ribosomal RNA". It matches the Rfam family "Bacterial small subunit ribosomal RNA", at positions 338 to 795 of the family's 1533-position model. The record is from RNAcentral.
CCUACGGGAGGCUGCAGUGAGGAAUAUUGGUCAAUGGUCGAGAGCCUGAACCAGCCAAGCCGCGUGAAGGAUGAAGGAACAAUGGAUCGUAAACUUCUUUUAUAUGGGAAUAAAGUGUGGGACGUGUUCCUUUUUGUAUGUACCAGAUGAAAAAGCAUCGGCUAACUCCGUGCCAGCAGCCGCGGUAAUACGGAGGAUGCGAGCGUUAUCCGGAUUUAUUGGGUUUAAAGGGUGCGUAGGUGGUUAAUUAAGUCAGCGGUGAAAGUUUGUGGCUCAACCAUAGAAUUGCCGUUGAAACUGGUUGACUUGAGUUGGAUUGAGGUAGGCGGAAUGCGUGGUGUAGCGGUGAAAUGCAUAGAUAUCGCGCAGAACUCCGAUUGCGAAGGCAGCUUACUAAACUAUAACUGACGCUGAAGCACGAAAGCGUGGGGAUCAAACAGGAUUAGAUACCCCGGUAGUC